Molecule: ribosomal RNA, 400 nt
Filed under: uncultured fungus
Lineage: Eukaryota; Fungi
Description: eukaryotic LSU rRNA
Rfam family: 5.8S ribosomal RNA (bases 1-133)
Source: RNAcentral
UGGCUCUCGCAUCGAUGAAGAACGCAGCGAAAUGCGAUAAGUAAUGUGAAUUGCAGAAUUCAGUGAAUCAUCGAAUCUUUGAACGCACCUUGCACCCUUUGGCAUUCCGAAGGGUAUGCUCGUUUGAGUGUCAUUGUACUCUCACACUUCCAAUUCUUUGGAUUGGGAGCGGUGGACUUGGGUGCUGCUGCUUACCGUGGCUCACCUCAAAUGUGUUAGUGCAACCGUUGGUUAGACAUAGUACGGCGUGAUAAGUAUCUUCGCUGGCGCCUCACUAGAGGGUGGCUGAUCAGGGCUCUGUGCUUCCAAUCGUCUUCGGACAUGGCUGACAACUUGACCUCAAAUCGAGUAGGACUACCCGCUGAACUUAAGCAUAUCAAUAAGCGGAGGAAAAGAAACU